AUGCUGUGGGCUCUAGCUCUACUCCUAGCUUUCCUGGCUCCUGCCAGUCAGAUAUCCUUCAAAUCAGAAUGGAGAAAGUUGUCAAUAACCAAGCAGAAUGGGUCGUCCGCUAUAAUCACCUGUGAUAUUGUUGACAAAACCGUCCACUACAUCCACUGGUACCGACAUCAAGAGGGAAAGGCCCCACACCGCCUUCUCUACUUUUCGUUCACUGGCUCAAAGGUUGUGUUAGAAGACGGAACUAGUCCAGAAAAAUAUGAUGUUUAUGAAGGCUCGGGAAGGACCUGUAAAUUUGUCAUCCAAAAUCUGGCAGACAGCGAUGCUGGUGUAUAUUACUGCGCCGCCUGGGACAGCCAUUAUACAAAAAAAUUCGGUGACGGAACAAAGGUUGUUGUUACAUGUAAAAACCUUGAAGAAGAUUAUUCGCCCAAGCCCACAGUUUUUCUUCCUUCAGUUGCUGAAAUAAACCUCCAUAAGGCUGGAACAUAUCUUUGUAUUCUUGAGAAAUUUUACCCUGAUGUUAUUAAGAUAGAUUGGAAAGAAAAGAAUGGUGAUAAAAUUUUGAAGUCACAGGAGGGAGAUACCAUCAGGACUAUUCACACGUACAUCACGUACAUGAAGUUCAGCUGGCUGACCGUAACUGAAACAUCAAUGGAUAAAGGCCACGUUUGUGUUGUCAAACACGAGUUUAACAGAGAAGGGAUUGAUCAAGAGAUUUUCUUUCCUUCAAUAAUGGAAGGCAUUACAACAAUUUGGAAAAAUGAAAACAGGUCACUGCAGCUGCAGUUCCCCCACACCUCUGCCUAUUACACCUACGUCCUCCUCCUUCUCAAGAGCGUGAUCUACUUUGCCAUCAUCGCCUUCAGUCUGUUCAGGAGACGAGGAGCUUGUUGCAAUGGGAAGAUUCCCUAA
Non-coding RNA from Talpa occidentalis (Iberian mole), 912 nucleotides. NCBI's taxonomy places the organism in Eukaryota, Metazoa, Chordata, Mammalia, Eulipotyphla, Talpidae. The record is from the annotation of a RefSeq genome assembly.